AUUGAACGCUGGCGGCAGGCCUAACACAUGCAAGUCGAACGGUAACAGGGAUCAGCUUGCUGAUUCGCUGACGAGUGGCGGACGGGUGAGUAAUGUCUGGGAAACUGCCUGAUGGAGGGGGAUAACUACUGGAAACGGUAGCUAAUACCGCAUAACGUCGCAAGACCAAAGAGGGGGACCUUCUGGCCUCUUGCCAUCGGGUGUGCCCAGAUGGGAUUAGCUAGUAGGUGGGGUAACGGCUCACCUAGGCGACGAUCCCUAGCUGGUCUGAGAGGAUGACCAGCCACACUGGAACUGAGACACGGUCCAGACUCCUACGGGAGGCAGCAGUGGGGAAUAUUGCACAAUGGGCGCAAGCCUGAUGCAGCCAUGCCGCGUGUAUGAAGAAGGCCUUCGGGUUGUAAAGUACUUUUAGCGGGGAGGAAGGGAGUAAAGUUAAUACCUUGGCUCAUUGACGUUACCCGAAGAAGAAGCACCGGCUAACUCCGUG
RNAcentral lists this ribosomal RNA (490 nucleotides) under uncultured bacterium. RNAcentral's name for it is "partial 16S ribosomal RNA". It matches the Rfam family "Bacterial small subunit ribosomal RNA", at positions 30 to 507 of the family's 1533-position model. The record is from RNAcentral.